RNAcentral lists this small RNA (2848 nucleotides) under Arabidopsis thaliana (thale cress). RNAcentral's name for it is "ATSL268210". The record is from RNAcentral. Lineage: Eukaryota; Viridiplantae; Streptophyta; Magnoliopsida; Brassicales; Brassicaceae.
AAAAACAAGUCAAAUACAUCUUGAACCCUCCCCCAAACUUAAAUUACACAGUCCCUUGUGUAAUCAAAAUUUGUGAAAGAAUUCAAGAUAAACACAGAAACAAAAACAAAAGCGGUAUUUAAAAAGGGUUUUCGUGUGUUACCUCAGUAGAAUGUCCUAGAGAUGUAGUCAUCCAUAUCUGCUUGAGUGUACUCAGCAGGCAUGACCAGUUCUUGAUGUGGCUCCGCCAUCUCCUCGUCAUUGUGCUCGAUCGCAACCCCAACAGGUUGUGCAGCACGAUGCUCAUGUGUUCUCCGACCCGACAUUAUCCGACCCUUGCUUGAUGAUCGGACCAUCCUAGCGCUCUUCCGCCUCUUGUGCUCCCAGACCUCGUGAGACGAGUAUCGUGCGGGUUCUUGCGGGAUAGCGCGUUCUCUCUGUUGAUAAGCAGAUUGCCUUGGCUGGGCAAUGUCAUGACGCCUGGGUGGCAUGUCUUCUGGCGGGUUGUCUCUGGUGAUUGCACUGGUGGAUGUGGUGCAACUGAUUACCUUCUGCAUGUUGUCAAUGGCCUUGACACACUUAUGGAUGAUCUUGUCUUGAAACUUGCACCACCUUUGGGUUAGACUGAGCUUCCGGUGUGCUUCGGCGAGACUCUUGCUUUCUCGUGAAGGGGGCUUGUGUUCUUCAAAGUGGUAGCGGCUCGUGUCAUAGUUCUCCUAGUUGGUCUCCUCAUUGUCACUCUGACCUUCUACUUCUUCAACAUUCCGGGACGCGGAUCCUCCAAUCACAGCAUGGAGGAUUUCUUGUGGUGGCGAGAAGUCGAUGUUGUCUCUCACUGUGAUGGUUGUCAUUUCACUGAAUGGGAGAAGAAUAGUGGCUUCUCUUGUUGACGGGUGAUCAAACUUGAAAGCGUACCUCCCAUCAUAGACAUUAUACUCGAUCACAUGGGCAAGCUUGAUAAAUGGGCGAUAUCCAUCCAACGUGGUUGGAUCGGAUCUGGUCGCAGCGGGACAUCGCACGAUAGGAGGAUUGGUGUGACCACUCCUCCAAUGCAAAGGGCUCCUUUCGCGUUCUUCUUGUCAUUGGCCAACGCCCACCCUCUUUAGCUGCAUAAGUGAUUGAGAAGAUAUAUUGACGGAGGUGUGUCAUUGGUAUCUCCCUUCAUCGUUUUCCUAUCCUUGGUGUAACGGAGGAAACUUAGCAGCGCCAGGUCUAACGUCUCCAUGUCUUGGUUCGUCAUAGUGGCGGAUAUCUCCCUAACGUAAGAGACAUUGGCCAUGGCUCUCUGGAAAUAGCGAAUGGCGGGAUUGCGGAUGGAGUUGCUCUUGGAUCUAGCGGAGUUGAAGCUGGUGGUGGCUCCGAUCGUGUUCUACAAAGAUUUUAAUUCUUCUUGGGCAAACCUCGGUUUCGUUCCCGUUCCACUAGGAAACCCAAACAUGGAUUCCAGCGUCUUGAUCGCCAUCAUAUAAUCGCGGUCGUCGAUGGUGAAGCUUAAGUAACCAAGCCCUUCUUCUCUUAACUCAGCAGCUGGCAACCCCUCAAACAAUUCCACUUGAAGUGAUGAAAGGAAUUGAAAUGUCUCAUCCUCAUAGGUAGGAUAGGGAUGAGACAUGAGUGUUGUCAUGUGGCAUUUCUCGAACAAGAGCUGAACGUCUUCCAGGAUGCCUAACUCCGCCAUUGUCUCCGGGUGAGGAUAUCUGUAACGACCGCGUCUCGCGUUCAUAAAGAGGCAGGUUUGUCUUAGGAGAAAACUAGAUCAUGGUCGAGGAACGGAACAAAAUACUAAGUAGGAAGAACGAGAAAGUAUAAGCUAAACCAGCUAGGUGAGCUGGACAAGCUGUAUGAACUAGCUAGGUAAGCUAUGUGAGCUAAACCAGCUGGAAGACUAGCUAGCUCAGCUAGGUGAGCUGACCGACAGCUCGACUGAGCUCGGUGAGCUGAUCAAGUACUAACCCAGCUGGGUGGUCCGGUCAGCUGACACUCGAGCUGGUGGACUGUGGUAGCUCACGGGUGAAGAGGUGUCUCGGCCAAAAGGUGUCUCGGCCAAAAGGUGUAAGGUCGAGCGGGUACCAAUGAACGGUUGCAUCGCCCAAAGGAUGCAAGGAACAGAUGUGACAUUUCGAAAGGAUGCAAGGAACGGAUGUGACCUUUCGGAGGGGUGCAAGGAACGGAUGUGAUGCUUCGGGAAGCAUCCAUUCGCCCCCUAUAUAAGGGAGGACGCCCAAGGCAUCUCACAUCAUCUCAUAACAUCCAAAACACCAUAAAACAUUCUUAAAGGAGUCCCAACACAUCCUAGAGUUGUUGGUCGGAAAGGGGGUGCGGCUCAGCGAGUAUAACUCGACCGAACUGAUGCGCAUGCUACCUUCCGGUCCAACGGUUCGAUGGAGUGUAGAGGAUGGAGAGGGUAGACCGUUUGUCUUAGAGACGAAUCGGAUCUGGUAGACCGAUCGUUGGAUCGGAUCGGCCAGACCGAUCGUUGGAUCGGAUCGGCCAGACCGAUCGUCAGACGGAUCGGCCAGACCGAUCGUCAGACGGAUCGGAUCGGCCAGACGGAUCGGACAGACCGAUCGUCGGACGGGUCAGAUGGGACAGGCUGAUCAUCUGACGGAACGGGUCCGACAGACCGAUCGUCGGAUGGGAUGGAUCGAUAAAAGUGUUCGAGGAAGCACAAGGAUAAGUGCAUUCGAACACACCCAAAGGUCGCCCAUGGAUGCAAUCUUACCGAUAAAGGGAGAAAGCACCAAGAAUGGGUAAGGAACGUGAUUCACCAUAUAGGAUCAACAUCGCGGCCGCCUUCAUGUAUCUAUCUCCUCAGCCAUGGUGAAACCGAUCAGAGAUCAGUAAGACCAAAGGGUGACUCGAUGGAUAA